Molecule: transfer RNA, 67 nt
Filed under: Loxostege aeruginalis
Lineage: Eukaryota; Metazoa; Arthropoda; Insecta; Lepidoptera; Crambidae
Description: tRNA-Glu
Source: RNAcentral
AUUUAUAUAGUUUAAAUAAAACAUUACAUUUUCAUUGUAAAAAUAAAAAAUAUUUUUUUUAUAAAUA